UAAAUGCUAAGUUACAAAAGGAUAUUUGUACUGCAAAGUGAAGCUGAGAAAGAGAGAGUGAGAAUGAGGAUUGUAGGAUUGACGGGCGGAAUUGCGUCGGGGAAGAGUACGGUCUCCAAUCUNUAAGUCCAUCGGGAUUCCUGUCGUUGACGCCGAUCUCGUUGCUCGUGAUGUUCUGAAGAAAGAUACUGGUGGCUAUAAUAAGGUUGUUGCAGCAUUUGGAGAGGAUAUCUUGCAAGCUAGUGGAGAAGUUGAUAGGGCAAAACUUGGCCUAAUUGUGUUCUCUGAUCCUGCAAAACGUCAACUUCUUAAUCGGGUCUUGGCUCCUUAUAUAUCCUCUGGUAUCUUUUAUGAAAUUUUGAAACUAUGGUUGAGGGGUUGUAAGGUGAUUGUCCUUGAUAUCCCUUUGUUGUUUGAGGCCAAGAUGGAUAAAUGGACGAAGCCCAUUAUUGUUGUAUGGGUUGAUACCGAAACACAGCUUCAGCGACUCAUGGCAAGGGACAGAAUCAGUGAGGAGGAUGCCAGAAAUAGGAUAAACGCUCAGAUGUCGUUGGAUCUAAAGCGAAUUAAAGCUGACAUUGUUAUUGAUAACAGUGGCUCAUUAGAGGAGUUGAAAGCACAGUUUCGGAAGGUAGUAGGUUUCUAGGCCCUUGACAUGGACUGAAUUCUGGCUUUCAAGACAGGGAGCCUUCACAGCUCUGAUUUCCAUUAUAAUUGGAGUAGUUGCUGGCAAAAAAGUUUAUGGGG
Molecule: unclassified non-coding RNA, 747 nt
Filed under: Hevea brasiliensis (rubber tree)
Lineage: Eukaryota; Viridiplantae; Streptophyta; Magnoliopsida; Malpighiales; Euphorbiaceae
Source: RNAcentral